This 73-nucleotide transfer RNA is filed under the name Staphylococcus aureus. RNAcentral's name for it is "tRNA-Thr". It matches the Rfam family "tRNA". Rfam says of the family: Transfer RNA (tRNA) molecules are approximately 80 nucleotides in length. Their secondary structure includes four short double-helical elements and three loops (D, anti-codon, and T loops). Further hydrogen bonds mediate the characteristic L-shaped molecular structure. tRNAs have two regions of fundamental functional importance: the anti-codon, which is responsible for specific mRNA codon recognition, and the 3' end, to which the tRNAs corresponding amino acid is attached (by aminoacyl-tRNA synthetases). tRNAs cope with the degeneracy of the genetic code in two manners: having more than one tRNA (with a specific anti-codon) for a particular amino acid; and 'wobble' base-pairing, i.e. permitting non-standard base-pairing at the 3rd anti-codon position. The record is from RNAcentral. Lineage: Bacteria; Bacillati; Bacillota; Bacilli; Caryophanales; Staphylococcaceae.
GCCGGCCUAGCUCAAUUGGUAGAGCAACUGACUUGUAAUCAGUAGGUUGGGGGUUCAAGUCCUCUGGCCGGGA